RNAcentral lists this ribosomal RNA (421 nucleotides) under uncultured bacterium. RNAcentral's name for it is "bacterial SSU rRNA". It matches the Rfam family "Bacterial small subunit ribosomal RNA", at positions 355 to 774 of the family's 1533-position model. The record is from RNAcentral.
UAAGGAAUAUUGGUCAAUGGACGCAAGUCUGAACCAGCCAUGCCGCGUGAAGGAUGAAGGUCCUCUGGAUUGUAAACUUCUUUUAUCUGGGACGAAAACGGGAUUUUUAUCUCAAUUGACGGUACCAGAGGAAUAAGCACCGGCUAACUCCGUGCCAGCAGCCGCGGUAAUACGGAGGGUGCGAGCGUUAUCCGGAUUUACUGGGUUUAAAGGGUGCGUAGGUGGGCUUAUAAGUCAGUGGUGAAAUCUCCGAGCUUAACUUGGAAACUGCCUUUGAUACUAUAAGUCUUGAAUUAUCUGGAGGUCAGCGGAAUAUGUCAUGUAGCGGUGAAAUGCUUAGAUAUGACAUAGAACACCAAUUGCGAAGGCAGCUUACUACAUAUAAAUUGACGCUGAGGCACGAAAGCGUGGGGAUCAGACA